AUAUAAUCCUCCAGAAAGAUAUCGUUCUUAGGCCUGUUUGUUUGUUUAACUAAAAAAAUUCAAAUAUUUUGGGAUAAUAGUGGUAAGAAAAUUUAGUUAUUUUCAAAGAUGGCCUAUUCAGGUCACAAGGAAGUUGCAAUGCCAAAACAUUAACCAGCCAUUUGCAUUCUUUGGAGCUACCACCAUAUCACACAUUGAAGAAAGAAGUAAUUAAACAAAAACACAAUACACCCACAACACAAACACAGAGUGAGACAGUAUUUUCAAUUUCUAUAUAACAAUUUUGCUAAAAUAUGAAACAGACACCAUCUUCCUGAAGAAACAACCCAACCAGUUUAAAAUUUUACAACCCCAUCCAUCAUCAUCAUCAUCAUAACACUAUAGCCAAAUGUAACAAAUUUAAACACUGUUUUAAUAUUCUUUUCACCUUGGAGAGCAAGAUAAAUAGCUGAAUAAAUAGGAUUACAGAGCUAAAAUUUAAAAUAAAAUAACUAAAAUUAUAUAUUUUUUAAAAUAACAUAACAAUAUUUAAAUUUUAAAAUAAAACAACUAAAAUUACAUAUCCAACAAAAUUGGAGAACCAAGCCCAUUAAAUAGAAAAGCAAAACACGCACAGAAUAGAAGAGUGGGACAGAAUUUUCAAAUACAAUAUACUAUAUAUAAUUGAAACAGACAUCAUCUUGGGGAAGAAACAUACAUACAGCCAAUGAGUUUAAAUUUUAUAACAUCAUCAUCAACACAAGCCUUAUAGGCAUAAACUCUGGUUUUUAUUUUUAUUUUCCCUUGAAACGAAAGAUACAUACACACAUACAUACAUAGGUUGGUUUGAAUAGCUAAAAGAUUACUAGCAUAUGUGUUGAUUGAUUCCAUGUUUUCACAAUUGAUAAUGUUUCUUAAUCUUGUUCUGGAGCUCGUCCUUAUUGGCUCCCACAACCCUCUCAACUUCCUUUCCUUCCUUCCACCACACGAACGUCGGCAUCGCCUCCACCUUAAACUCCUUCGCCACACCCUUUAACGAUAAAACCAUAACACAAAAAUAUUUUAAGAAAAAUUGAUCAAUCAUUAAGGCCCCUUCGUUUGCAGAAAAAGAAGGCAAAAAAAAGAAGAAGAGAGAAAUGAAGUAAAAUAAUCUGAGAUCGAUGCUUUUACAGUAUAUUUUAAUUCAAAAUUUCAUCUCAUUUAACUUUCAUUAAUCUUCUUUCCACUCUAUCGAACUGAGCCAAGGGAAACUAACAAAAGUAAUUGGAUUGAAUAAAGAAAAGAGAGAAUAUGGAAGAGAAAAUCACAGAUAAUUCGUCCACGUCGAUCUUGACGAAGUCAGCGUUUGCAAACUCUGCGGCCAUGUGGUUAAACACUGGAGCGAUGAAUUUGCAAGGGCCACACCAGGACGCCGUGAAAUAUAUCACAACCUGAUUUUUAUUUAUAUGUUGCAGUUCAAAAGAAAAUGUUGAGAUUGAGAUGAAGAAACAUGCACGUACGUACAUAUAUAGAAACGCAAUUAAUUAAAUAAAGUUGAGAUGUACGUACUAGCUUAGGGGACUCUUUGAUCUUUUCCAAGUAGCUCUCCCAGCGCUCCGCGGAGUGGAACGCUUUCACGUCAGGACUCUCCUCCUCCAGGGUGCUAGAAAAAAGAACGCCCAUUCCUUUGCUUACUAUGCUCUUAAUUUGCUUAAUCACUACGCCAUUAUUUCUUAUAUAGAUUGGGAAGAUUCUUCAUUUCAUUAUUCAAUUCAAUUAUCAACUUCUUUUUUUUAUCCAAAACAGUGACUAAGUUUUGUGAGAAAUUCUCGUGCAUAUAAGAUAAAUAUUUUACUUUUUAACAUGAUUUAUUUCAUAUUUAAAAUAACUAAUUAGAAUUUCAACUUGAACCACAAACACACAUGUGAAUAUCAUUUGUGUCGAUUAUCGUUGAUUAUCCGCAUUUAACAAGGAGGUAAGAAAUGAACUGCUACCUCAUAUUGUGGGGUACUAGCCCACUGGCUCCCUCAUUCCAUCUUUGUCAUACAAAUUGCUGUAUCUGUCAGGACAAGAUUGUUUUCUGUAUUAUAUAAAAAAAAAAAAAAGAUUGUUUUCUGUAUCAGAAACAUACAGCAAAUAAUUCAACUAAUUAUUGAUUGCUUAGUUAACUGAAAAGUUGGUUAAAAUUUGAAAAGUUAGUUAGAAGUUAAAAAUUAAGGCCGAAAGUUAAUUGAAAGUUAAAAAAUUAUUUCAUUAAAUUAUAAACAUUUGAUAAAAUAACUUGUUGAACUACAAAAAUAUGUAUAAUUCAUAAAUGAACAUAUUUAUGUAAUAUUUUUAUAUAAAUUUUAGUUUGAUUUUCUUGACAAAAAUAUAUUUUUAGUAUUUAUAAUUUUAGUAUUAAGUUAGUUUUAAACACUUGUGGUUUUUUAUUUGUAAAAUUCAAAAAAAAAAACUACAUAAGCAUAUUAUAUAUCACUAUAUAUCAAUAUCAAUAUCAUUUAUAAUAAAAAGGUAAGAAGGAGAACAUCCUAUAUAUCAUAUGUAAAAAAAAGUAAAAAUAAUAAAACUUUACCUCAAAGAAAAAAAAAUUAAAAAAAUCUAAUAAAUGUGCAAAGUCAAAAAAAGAAUAAACAUAAAAAAUUAAAAAUUAAUGUUUUAAAAAACACUAAUGCAUAGAAAUUGUCAAACACUAAUAAAAAAAAUUUGUUUAGCAAAUAAAUAAACACUUUUAUCAUACAAGUUAUUCACUUUUUAUUACUUCAAUUAAAAAAAAAUAUCAAAGUCAUCCAUUUUUUUACAACCUCGUUACUAAAAGUUAUUAAUUCAAAAUUUAGCCUAUUUGAUAAAUUAGAUAAAAAAAAAAAUUGCUCCCUUUUGAUACUUCCACCGGGAUUUUUCUGAUUUUCGUUCCCUCAUCUUAUCCUCAUAUUCUUUAGUAGUUGUUAACUAGUGGAAAGAAGAUUAAUGAAAGUGAAACGACAUGAAAUUUUGAAUUGAAGUAUACUGUAAAAGCAUGGAUCUCUUUUCUGAUUUUCCGCUAAACUUGUGGUGACUAUAAACGAAUCAAGAGAGCAGAACGAGGAGACGAGAAAGAGCAAAAUAAAACAAAACAAAAUAAAAGCUACGAUGAGAUGGAACAAAAUUGUUGAUGCAUCUGAUUCCUCCCAAAUUGGAGGAAAAGUAAGCUAAAGAUAUAUACAAUAGAAUGGGAUAGAAAAGAUUCCACUAAAUUUCAUCAUAUUUCAGUCUCCAUUUCAUCCUUUUACUGAGUCCAAACAUUGCAUAAAUAUAACUUUUAAAUGAUUAUUAUAAAAGCCAAUAAUUAUAUUAUUUAUUCAUGACAACCCAUAAUUAAACCAAAAGUAUAACUUUUUUAUGCUAUUUAUGUAUUCCAAUUAAAUUCAAGUUCCUAUAUAAUCCUCCAAAAAGAUAUCGGUCUAAGGCCUGUUUGUUUAACUAAAAAAAAUCAAAUAUUUUGGGAUAAUAGUGGUAAGAAAGUUUAGUCAUUUUCAAAGAUGGCCUAUUCAGGUCACAAGGAAGUUGCAAUGCCAAAACAUUAACCAGCCAUUUGCAUUCUUUGGAGCUACCACCAUAUCACACAUUGAAGAAAGAAGUAAUUAAACAAAAACACAAAACACCCACAACACAAACACAGAGUGAGACAGUAUUUUCAAUUUCUAUAUAACAAUUUUGCUAAAAUAUGAAACAGACACCAUCUUCCUGAAGAAACAACCCAACCAGUUUAAAAUUUUACAACCCCAUCCAUCAUCAUCAUCAUCAUAACACUACAGCCAAAUAUAACAAAUUUA
This 3770-nucleotide long non-coding RNA is filed under the name Glycine max (soybean). RNAcentral describes it as "long non-coding RNA (GMAX_LNC004234)". Lineage: Eukaryota; Viridiplantae; Streptophyta; Magnoliopsida; Fabales; Fabaceae. The record is from RNAcentral.